This 274-nucleotide ribosomal RNA is filed under the name uncultured bacterium. RNAcentral describes it as "partial 16S ribosomal RNA". It matches the Rfam family "Bacterial small subunit ribosomal RNA", at positions 523 to 796 of the family's 1533-position model. The record is from RNAcentral.
AUACGGAGGGUGCAAGCGUUACUCGGAAUCACUGGGCGUAAAGCGCGCGCAGGCGGCUUGAUAAGUUGGAUGGGAAAGCCUACGGCUCAACCGUAGAACUGCAUCCAAAACUGUCAAGCUAGAGUCUGGGAGGGGAAGAUGGAAUUAGUUGUGUAGGGGUAAAAUCCGUAGAGAUAACUAGGAAUACCAAAAGCGAAGGCGAUCUUCUGGAACAGUACUGACGCUGAGGCGCGAAAGCGUGGGGAGCAAACAGGAUUAGAAACCCCAGUAGUCC